CAGUAGCCGCGGUAAUACGUAGGGUGCAAGCGUUAAUCGGAAUUACUGGGCGUAAAGCGUGCGCAGGCGGUUAUAUAAGACAGAUGUGAAAUCCCCGGGCUCAACCUGGGAACUGCAUUUGUGACUGUAUAGCUAGAGUACGGCAGAGGGGGAUGGAAUUGUGCGUGUAGCAGUGAAAUGCGUAGAUAUGCGGAGGAACACCGAUGGCGAAGGCAAUCCCCUGGGCCUGUACUGACGCUCAUGCACGAAAGCGUGGGGAGCAAACAGGAUUAGAUACCCCCGUAGUCCCUGUCUCUUAUAC
RNAcentral lists this ribosomal RNA (301 nucleotides) under uncultured bacterium. RNAcentral describes it as "partial 16S ribosomal RNA". It matches the Rfam family "Bacterial small subunit ribosomal RNA", at positions 509 to 807 of the family's 1533-position model. The record is from RNAcentral.